This is a long non-coding RNA of Chenopodium quinoa (quinoa), 428 nucleotides long. RefSeq lists it as uncharacterized. The record is from RefSeq and is a predicted model, not a curated record. NCBI's taxonomy places the organism in Eukaryota, Viridiplantae, Streptophyta, Magnoliopsida, Caryophyllales, Amaranthaceae. The transcript has 2 exons.
UAUAUGUAUGAGAUAGUAUCUUUCCAUAGUGAUUGCAAGGGUAAUUUGAAAGAGGAGUAUUUGGCAAGACUUGCAGCCUACAACGAUGUAGAAUUGGAUGAGAUUCGAGAACAAUGGGCUAAGUUUUUUAGGCUUAAUUUUUUGUUGAAAGACUAGUUAUCUUAUUAAUCGAUGUUAUGAUUUAUCGCAUUUAGCUUAAUAAAAUGAUAUAACACAUUUUUAUAUAUCUACUAUAAUUUUAUUUAGCCUAUUGGUUAUUGUUAUUACAUUUCUAAAUUAUAAAUCAAUGCUUUUUUAAUUCAAGUUUAAUUGUUUUUUUGGAAAUUACAGUAUAAUUAAUUUUUUUGUAUUGUAUUGGUUAUGGAUGAAUAAUUCGAGUUGCGCGGAACUAUUUAGAGUGUUUGUAUUGUAUGGAAGUAUUCGUAGUA